UAGAAUUUCUCUUUUGAGGUCAUUCUUCUGUCAAAAAAAACCCAAAGAGUGGACAGGCGUUAUUACUGUCCAGGCAAACAAUGAGCUUAGUUAAUUUCUCAUUAGUGUGGGCGAAAAUUCUACCUUAAAUAAACAAAGUCUCUGCCAUCCACCCCAGGCCUUAAUGAUCCCGCUCUCCUAAAGUUUGUAAAACAAACAGAUUAACUUGUACUUUACCCUCUGCCAAUAUUAGCACAGUCUGAAUGGUUAAACCUUUUUCCCACUUUAGUAAACCGUCAUUUCCCAAAUGUCCCAAUUGUAUUAGAAACAACUGCUCAUCCUAACUUAUCACCACAAUUCUACCAAUUGCUCCUUGGAGUUAAUGAUCUAUAUAGGUAGAUAACUAUAGUGUCUCUACAUACAAUAUUCUGUGGUUAAUUUACAAAGUGUGAAGUACAAAAGGUUGACUAUGGAAACGCACAUUUUAGGUUGAAAAUAGUUAAUAAAAAAAAAAACCAAACCUAUAAAACAUGGCUACUGUGGGCUGAAACUUGAAUUUUUCUUUGUCAAACCUCCACAACUCUAGCUAAGCGAAUAAGCCCCUUUGUUUCUCUGAUACUUUAUUCCAUCUACAUUUUAUCAAAUAUUGCAAAUGUCAUUUAAAACACACUACUGCAUUAAAAACCAUGUAACAUCCUCAAGAAUGCAAAAGUAGUGCAGGAGAUUAUAUGGCACAUUUCAGAGUUACACUUCGACAGAUUGUCGUUUAAAAAGGGAAUCUGAAAUACCUUUACAAUGCUGCAUCUGAAAAACAAGCACAUUUUACACUGUCCAUGCAUACACAAAAUAUUAAGGGGUUUUCAUUUCUAAAUAAAAUUUAAAAUAAACAUUACAACCUUUUCUAGUUAGAAUCCCUUAUAGAUAUCCCUGGUUCAAUAUAGAGGACUGGUUGUUCUAUGAAUAAAUAAUAAAUGCAUUUAAAAACUUGACAAGGCUGUUGAGAUAAGAAUUGCAAUCUCAGCUACAUUCAAAGCUGGAGUGCACGCACACAGUAACUGUACAUAAAAGGGUGAAUUAAAUAAUCAAUUAUACUGCAAUAUAAAAGGGACAAUUCAGGGUGGAUUUGCAACUAAAUUAAGUUUUAUUAAAGGGACACUAUAGGCACCCAGACUACUUCAGCUCACUGAAGUGGUCUGAGUGCAGUGUCACAGGUCCCUUAACUCUGAGCAGGCAAUUACAAUUGAAAAUAAAAUUAUUUUAUUUUAUAAACUGCAAUAAUUACCGGCUAGGGUUAACUCGUACUCUAGUGGCUGUCUGACUUCCGGGCUGUUAUUGUGACUUUUGGUCACCUAACUGAAGCUGGACAUUCUUACUCUAUGCAUGAGGACAUCCAGCAUCACCCAAGACCCCAUAGUAAAGCAUUUAAUAAUGCUUUCCUAUAAGGAAAUCCUAAUGCGAGCGCAUCCAUUGCCGUGCAUGCCCAUUAGGUCUCCCCCAGCCGGUGGGGGAGGAGCGGAGGCGGACCCGAGCUAGCACCGAGGGACAUCGGUGCUGGACCCAGGUAAGUGACACAAGAGGUUAUUAAAACCCUUUUGCACCGUCGAGGGGCCUUGACAGAGGUGGAAGCUAUAGUGCCAGGAACCAAAUGUGUUUACCUGGCACUAUAACUUCCCUUUAAGGCUUUGUACCGAUUUGUAUGCAGCAUAGAAAGAGCGCUGGUUAUUACAGCCAAACCCCAAUCUCCCAAUGUCCUCAACGGCAUUCUGGCAAAGACCGCAUAACACAGGAAGUUUGUCCUGCUUGGAAGCGGAGGGAAAGUGGGUAUUUCUUGAAAAUUUACAUUAAAUACAUCAUGUAUGUUUGUGAUACAUUAUGCAUUCAAUGUAUUUGGGGCCAAUUUAAACACCAUACAAAAAUAAAGUAGAGUUUCACUUUAAGACCCAAACUAACACCCAAUGCUGCAUUCCCCCAGCAUCUCUGCUUUUUUCCUCCCGAUAUUCUCCCAAGCGCCUUCUUCAUUCAGGACUUUCACUUAUCUCCCCUUUCCAGGCAUUAUCCUGUGUUAUUUUUCCAAACCACAAGUGGAAUUCUUACCUAUAAAAUGUUCUACCUUCCUACUAAUUAAAGACCAAAGAUAAAUACCAGAUCGCACACCUGCCCUUUGCCCUAAAAGGUCAGUGUAAGCUUCAUUCGCAGAUUACUACAAGACAGUUGGUGUUUAAAACACUAACCUGGGGGUGAUUAAUAAUGGCAGCUGUUAUAAGGUUGUCCACCAAGACUGUCAAUCAAGAAGCCAUAUAUAUAUUUUAUUCAUACUGUGCAUGAAUGAUAGGAAAAGUCCAUCCUUUCCAGUAUGUCCCCACGUGAAGCUUAGUCUAUAUCUCCCUUUAAUGUUUCUCAUACGUCAACUUGUCUGAGAUUCUGGUAUAUUGUACAGCUCUACUCAUCUUUUUGACCCUUUAUAAAAAAAUAAAAUAAAAAAAAUUUAGAAAACCGCACAUGUACAGGCAGGUAAUU
Molecule: long non-coding RNA, 2496 nt
Filed under: Pelobates cultripes (western spadefoot toad)
Lineage: Eukaryota; Metazoa; Chordata; Amphibia; Anura; Pelobatidae
Source: RNAcentral